GACGAACCGUGCGACCGUUGUUCGGAAUCACUGGGCUUAAAGGGCGCGUAGGCGGUUUCGCAAGUCUGUGGUGAAAGCCCCCAGCUUAACUGGGGAAGUGCCGUGGAUACUGCGAAUCUUGAGGAGGGUAGGGGCGUCUGGAACGGUCGGUGGAGCGGUGAAAUGCGUUGAUAUCGACCGGAACUCCGGUGGCGAAGGCGAGGCGCUGGACCCUUUCUGACGCUGAGGCGCGAAAGCCAGGGGAGCAAACGGG
This 253-nucleotide ribosomal RNA is filed under the name uncultured bacterium. RNAcentral describes it as "partial 16S ribosomal RNA". It matches the Rfam family "Bacterial small subunit ribosomal RNA", at positions 524 to 776 of the family's 1533-position model. The record is from RNAcentral.